GACGAACGCUGGCGGCGUGCUUAACACGUGCAAGUCGAACGGAAAGGCCCUGCUUUUGUGGGGUGCUCGAGUGGCGAACGGGUGAGUAACACGUGAGUAACCUGCCCUUGACUUUGGGAUAACUUCAGGAAACUGGGGCUAAUACCGGAUAGGAGCUCCUGCUGCAUGGUGGGGGUUGGAAAGUUUCGGCGGUUGGGGAUGGACUCGCGGCUUAUCAGCUUGUUGGUGGGGUAGUGGCUUACCAAGGCUUUGACGGGUAGCCGGCCUGAGAGGGUGACCGGCCACAUUGGGACUGAGAUACGGCCCAGACUCCUACGGGAGGCAGCAGUGGGGAAUAUUGCACAACGGGCGGAAGCCUGAUGCAGCAACGCCGCGUGCGGGAUGACGGCCUUCGGGUUGUAAACCGCUUUCGCCUGUGACGAAGCGUGAGUGACGGUAAUGGGUAAAGAAGCACCGGCUAACUACGUG
This 468-nucleotide ribosomal RNA is filed under the name uncultured bacterium. Its description in RNAcentral is "partial 16S ribosomal RNA". It matches the Rfam family "Bacterial small subunit ribosomal RNA", at positions 28 to 507 of the family's 1533-position model. The record is from RNAcentral.